Molecule: non-coding RNA, 135 nt
Organism: Hordeum vulgare subsp. vulgare (domesticated barley)
Lineage: Eukaryota; Viridiplantae; Streptophyta; Magnoliopsida; Poales; Poaceae
Source: Rfam
CUUAUACUCCAUCCGUCUCAAAAUUCUUGUCUUAGGUUUGUUUCGAAAUGGAUGUAUCUAAAUAAUAAAAUAUGAUUAAAUACAUUCAUAUCUAGACAAUCUAAGACAAGAAUUUUGAAACGGAUGAAGUAUUUA